Molecule: non-coding RNA, 107 nt
Organism: Gossypium hirsutum (cotton)
Lineage: Eukaryota; Viridiplantae; Streptophyta; Magnoliopsida; Malvales; Malvaceae
Source: Rfam
AACCCAUGCUUUAGGCAUUUUUGGAUUAAAUCUUUAAAUCAUUCCCAAGCUUUAUAUAGUGUUUCAUCCUCCAAUUUUUGAAAAUAUGUGAUGACAUUUCUAACCUU